Molecule: long non-coding RNA, 646 nt
Organism: Daucus carota subsp. sativus
Lineage: Eukaryota; Viridiplantae; Streptophyta; Magnoliopsida; Apiales; Apiaceae
Exons: 4
Source: RefSeq, a predicted model, not a curated record
GAUUGUUUCAUUGUCUCAAAGGAUGAGAUCAGGCUAAUUGAUGAUCUUGCACUAUUUACAGAUAUUAGCAGAAAAGGUAGUGUGACAUGGGCCCGUCCUUUGCCCACGGGACUUCCAAGCCUUGAUCGUCCAUAGCCUAACAGCGGUUAUUGUUUUUGUUUGGGAUGUAUCAAUGUUCCAAUAUUACACAAGAUACUUCUCCUCCUUCAACGUGUCGAAGUUAUAGAGAAAAUGUACCUCCUCAGCCACCAUGCAAAUACGGGAUACAUCACGACAUCACAAAGACGUCUACAGAACAAAGAUCUCUCUUCUAAUAUUAAUCAAAAAAGUGGUCAGGGUAAUCUCACGCCAUCGCAAAGACGGCUUCAGGGUGUUGAUUUCUCAGGACUGAGCCAAAAUGUUUUAACGUCCAAGCUUAUUAUCAGGAAACAGACAGUGUUUAACAAUGACAGAAAAUUCCAACUACCAGCUUCAACAGUACUAAAUCCUGUGAAUGCUCCACCCUCAGGCGGUUAGUCACUACAUCACCAAGUUGUUACUAAAAAUACUAUGUUAAUAUUUUAAUUGUGCGAUAUCAGUAAUAUUUAAUAAUUAUUCAAAAGCAGGAAAUAAAAUUAGUCUAUCCAGACCUGUCAAUUUACUAAAC